RNAcentral lists this long non-coding RNA (557 nucleotides) under Struthio camelus australis. RNAcentral's name for it is "lncRNA (ENSSCUG00000000257.1)". The record is from RNAcentral. Lineage: Eukaryota; Metazoa; Chordata; Aves; Struthioniformes; Struthionidae.
CGGCGACCCGCUCAGCGUCUACUGCGAGCCCGGCCGCCAGGUGGUCUGCGGCCUCUGCGCCUCCCUCGGCAAGCACCGGGGCCACAGCGUCCUCACCGCCGCCGAGGCCCACCAGCGCAUGAAGGUGCGCCCGAGCCCCUCCGCCCCGGCCUCGGGCCUUCCCGCCGCCGCUAACGCUGUCUUCCUCUCCCGCCCCGGCGCAGAAACUCAUGCCCCAGCAGCAGGCGCAGCUCCAGGAGGCCCAAGCCCGCAAGGAGAAGACCAUCGCUCUGCUGGACCAGCAGAUCGCCGAGGUGGAGGACACGGUGGCGUGCUUCAAGCGCCAGGUGGCGGAGCAGCUGGGGGUGAUGCGGGGCUUCCUGGCGGCGCUGGAGACCUCCCUGGGGGGGGGGGACGGGAAGGGGGCAACUACCUGGAGCAGCUGCGGCAGAUGGAGGCCGUCCUGGACGAGGUGCAGGAGGAGAACCAGACCGCCUUCCUCCGGGUGAGCCGCCGGGUGCUGGGUCGCUGGGUGCUGGUUGGUUGGGUGCUGGUUGCCCAGAUUGGUUGGAUGCUGG